RNAcentral lists this ribosomal RNA (577 nucleotides) under uncultured bacterium. RNAcentral's name for it is "bacterial SSU rRNA". It matches the Rfam family "Bacterial small subunit ribosomal RNA", at positions 28 to 638 of the family's 1533-position model. The record is from RNAcentral.
AAUCAACGCGGGCGGCGCGCAUAACACAUGCAAGUCGAACGAGAAAGUGGAGCAAUCCAUGAGUACAGUGGCGUACGGGUGAGUAACACGUGGGUAAUCUACCUUUAGUGAGGAAUAACUUUGGGAAACCGAAGCUAAUACCGCAUAAGCCUGAGAAGGGAAAGCAGUAAUGCGCUGAAAGAGGAGCCCGCGGCCGAUUAGCUAGUUGGUGAGGUAAUGGCCCACCAAGGCAUAGAUCGGUAGCCGGCCUGAGAGGGCACACGGCCACACUGGCACUGAAACACGGGCCAGACUCCUACGGGAGGCAGCAGUGGGGAAUCUUGCACAAUGGGGGAAACCCUGAUGCAGCGACGCCGCGUGAGCGAUGAAGCCCUUCGGGGUGUAAAGCUCUUUCGGCAGGGAAGAUUAUGACGGUACCUGCAGAAGCAGCUGCGGCUAACUACGUGCCAGCAGCCGCGGUAAUACGUAGGCAGCAAGCGUUGUUCGGAGUUACUGGGCGUAAAGGGUGUGUAGGCGGCUCUCUAAGUUUGGUGUGAAAUCUCCCGGCUCAACCGGGAGGGUGCGCCGAAUACUGAAG